AACUGGUCCACUUGGGACUCGAGCUCCACGCGCCGGACCCGCAGGUCAUCGAUGGCCCUGCGUAGCUGCUGCUUCGACUCCAGCAGAGCAGCCACUGUGGGCUAUCGAGCAACCCUUGCUGGGGAACCAGGGUUUCUCAAGCUUCGGGUGGAAAAAGCUGAACAAUGACCUUGUUGUCGCAGGGAGCCAGACAGCCUUGGGAGCCUUCGGAUUAAAGGGAAGGAGGCUACAGCCCCAGAGGACCACAAAGACGACUGCACCUAUGGUUCCGUG
Molecule: long non-coding RNA, 273 nt
Organism: Rattus rattus (black rat)
Lineage: Eukaryota; Metazoa; Chordata; Mammalia; Rodentia; Muridae
Exons: 3
Source: RefSeq, a predicted model, not a curated record